UCGCCUCCCAAAAGGUAACGGAGGCGCUCAAAGGUUCUCUCAGUACGGUCGGAAAUCGUACGUAGAGUGUAAAGGCAAAAGAGAGCUUGAUUGCAAGACAUACAGGUCGAGCAAGGAUGAAAAUCGGCCUUAGUGAUCCGGUGGUUCUGCGUGGAAGGGCCAUCGCUCAACGGAUAAAAGCUACCCUGGGGAUAACAGGCUUAUCUCCCCCAAGAGUCCACAUCGACGGGGAGGUUUGGCACCUCGAUGUCGGC
RNAcentral lists this ribosomal RNA (254 nucleotides) under Clostridioides difficile. RNAcentral's name for it is "partial 23S ribosomal RNA". It matches the Rfam family "Bacterial large subunit ribosomal RNA", at positions 2283 to 2536 of the family's 2925-position model. Lineage: Bacteria; Bacillati; Bacillota; Clostridia; Peptostreptococcales; Peptostreptococcaceae. The record is from RNAcentral.